UUUGUCUUCGAUUACUCACCCAAUGUUGAGUUGAAUUCUUGAAGAAAACUUAGUUUUUCGGUGAAGGAUGAAUCAAAAAGCAGAGAAAAAUUGUUAAAUCAUAAUUGAGUUUAUCAAGUAGUCCAGUACAGCCCAAACAUGUAUGUGCUAAAACCUUUCAAUUUGUGUACUUGUUCAGCAAAGUAGUGAGUAGUAAAUGAAAUUUGGAUUUUACUGCACGAGUUGUGUGAGGGUUUGUAAAUGGAUGUUUUCAUGUAGUUUUGUCCACAUUUACUUCAACUCUACAAGACUUUUCUCUGUAUUUCAUAUACAAAUGUUCACGUGGGAUAAUUAUUGCUGCAAAAAGUGGAACUUCUUCUUUAAGUAGAUACUUAUAUGUGGUUUGUUUCUAUGAGCAGAACCAUCUUACACAUCUUCACGAGAUCUUCUAGCAGUGAUCAUCAUUGCGAUCAUCGUGCUCAUCUCCCUGCUUGUCUGUGUUUGGUAAGUCUCACACAUUAAAGCAGAUAAUGUUUCAGUUACAGCCACACUGAAGAUGAAGGCACAGAUGAUCUGUUUUGUGGGUUUUACUCCUCUGCACCAGCGUCUCAAAGAGCACAUUUUCCACAUUACAUUUACAAACUGUAUUUCUCUCUGAUGAUUUAUUUUACAGUACUCUCGUGUGUUGGAGAUGGUUUAAGUCGACACGUUCAACUCAACAACCGACUCAGAGUCAAACAGCUGAAGAGCUGGCUGUUAAAGAGCCAGCACCAAAAACAGAAGAAGACAUCCAUUACGGAGAGAUCGACUUCUCCAAGCGGAGACCUGAACAGCCCUCAGAGCAAGACGGUGCACUGCAGCAGGAAACUCUGUACGCACAGGUCAAAGUGCCCGAGACAGCAAACCGCUCAACACCGACUGAUGACGAGGCGCUCUACGCCCAAGUGAAGAGGAAAUGAGGGUUGUUUGUGUCAAGACGCAGAAAACAUUUGAAUAUAAUUCAUGAUAUGUACCUUUAUGUUUAUUACAUAUAUAUCUAAAUUAUAUUACUGUACCGUAUGUUUUUAUGUUUGUAGAAAAAGACACCUGGACAUGAAAAAGUCAUUUUCACUGCUUACAGUUCAAUAAAGGGAAACUCCAAACCUCCACCCCCUGCAGCUUUCUUAUGUCAGUUAUGUCCACAUGUUAAUAGUUACGUGCUGAG
Molecule: long non-coding RNA, 1183 nt
Filed under: Cottoperca gobio
Lineage: Eukaryota; Metazoa; Chordata; Actinopteri; Perciformes; Bovichtidae
Description: lncRNA (ENSCGOG00000006084.1)
Source: RNAcentral